RNAcentral lists this ribosomal RNA (505 nucleotides) under uncultured bacterium. Its description in RNAcentral is "partial 16S ribosomal RNA". It matches the Rfam family "Bacterial small subunit ribosomal RNA", at positions 28 to 507 of the family's 1533-position model. The record is from RNAcentral.
GACGAACGCUGGCGGCGUGCCUAAUACAUGCAAGUAGAACGCACAGUUUAUACCGUAGCUUGCUACACCAUAGACUGUGAGUUGCGAAUGGGUGAGUAACGCGUAGGUAACCUGCCUGGUAGCGGGGGAUAACUAUUGGAAACGAUAGCUAAUACCGCAUAAUAUUAAUUAUUGCAUGAUAAUUAAUUGAAAGGUGCAAUUGCACCACUACCAGAUGGACCUGCGUUGUAUUAGCUAGUAGGUGAGGUAACGGCUCACCUAGGCGACGAUACAUAGCCGACCUGAGAGGGUGAUAGGCCACACUGGGACUGAGACACGGCCCAGACUCCUACGGGAGGCAGCAGUAGGGAAUCUUCGGCAAUGGACGAAAGUCUGACCGAGCAACGCCGCGUGAGUGAAGAAGGUUUUCGGAUCGUAAAGCUCUGUUGUAAGAGAAGAACGGGUGUGAGAGUGGAAAGUUCACACUGUGACGGUAGCUUACCAGAAAGGGACGGCUAACUACGUG